Molecule: ribosomal RNA, 460 nt
Filed under: uncultured bacterium
Lineage: Bacteria
Description: partial 16S ribosomal RNA
Rfam family: Bacterial small subunit ribosomal RNA
Source: RNAcentral
CCUACGGGAGGCAGCAGUGGGGAAUAUUGCGCAAUGGACGAGAGUCUGAACCAGCCACGCCGCGUGAAGGAUGAAGGUUCUCGGGGUUGUAAACUUCUUUUAUCUGGAAAUAAAAUAGGGUACGCAACCCUUCUCGUAUGUACCAUAUGAAUCCGGAUCGGCUAACUCCGUGCCAGCAGCCGCGGUAAUACGGAGGAUCCGUGCGUUAUCCGGUUUUGUUGGGUUUAAAGGGAGCGUAGGUGGAUUGUUAAGUCAGGUGUGAAAGUUUGCGGCUCAACCGUAGCGGUGCAGUUGAUACUGGCAGUCUUGAGUACAGAAGAGGUGGGCGGAAUGCGUGGUGUAGCGGUGAAAUGCUUAGAUAUCACGAAGAACACCGAUUGCGAAGGCAGCUCACUGGACUGCAACUGACGCUGAGGCUCGAAAGUGUGGGUAUCAAACAGGAUUAGAUACCCGGGUAGUC